GUGGCGAGUGGCGAACGGGUGAGUAAUAUAUCGGAACGUACCCAGUAGUGGGGGAUAACUAUCCGAAAGGAUAGCUAAUACCGCAUACGAUCUACGGAUGAAAGCAGGGGAUCUUCGGACCUUGUGCUAUUGGAGCGGCCGAUAUCUGAUUAGCUAGUUGGUGAGGUAAAAGCUCACCAAGGCGACGAUCAGUAGCUGGUCUGAGAGGACGACCAGCCACACUGGAACUGAGACACGGUCCAGACUCCUACGGGAGGCAGCAGUGGGGAAUUUUGGACAAUGGGCGCAAGCCUGAUCCAGCAAUGCCGCGUGAGUGAAGAAGGCCUUCGGGUUGUAAAGCUCUUUUGUCAGAGAAGAAAAGGUGCGCUCUAACAUAGCGUACUGAUGACGGUACCUGAAGAAUAAGCACCGGCUAACUACGUGCCAGCAGCCGCGGUAAUACGUAGGGUGCAAGCGUUAAUCGGAAUUACUGGGCGUAAAGCGUGCGCAGGCGGUUUUAUAAGUCUGAUGUGAAAUCCCCGGGCUCAGCCUGGGAACUGCAUUGGAGACUGUAAGGCUAGAGUGUGUCAGAGGGGGGUAGAAUUCCACGUGUAGCAGUGAAAUGCGUAUAUAUGUGGAGGAAUACCGAUGGCGAAGGCAGCCCCCUGGGAUAACACUGACGCUCAUGCACGAAAGCGUGGGGGAGCAAACAGGAUUAGAUACCCUGGUAGUCCACGCCCUAAACGAUGUCUACUAGAUUGUCGGGACUUAAUUGUCUUG
This 759-nucleotide ribosomal RNA is filed under the name uncultured bacterium. RNAcentral's name for it is "bacterial SSU rRNA". It matches the Rfam family "Bacterial small subunit ribosomal RNA", at positions 88 to 841 of the family's 1533-position model. The record is from RNAcentral.